GUCUAUGGUCAUACGACCCUGAAUGUGCCUGAUCUUUUCUGAUCUCAGAAGCUAAGUAGGCUUGGACCUGGUUAGUACUCCAAUGGGAAAACACUUGGUUCAAAGUUC
This 108-nucleotide ribosomal RNA is filed under the name Cricetulus griseus (Chinese hamster). Lineage: Eukaryota; Metazoa; Chordata; Mammalia; Rodentia; Cricetidae. The record is from RNAcentral.